RNAcentral lists this ribosomal RNA (386 nucleotides) under uncultured bacterium. Its description in RNAcentral is "bacterial SSU rRNA". It matches the Rfam family "Bacterial small subunit ribosomal RNA", at positions 27 to 416 of the family's 1533-position model. The record is from RNAcentral.
GAUUGAACGCUGGCGGCAUGCCUUACACAUGCAAGUCGAACGGCAGCACGGGAGCAAUCCUGGUGGCGAGUGGCGAACGGGUGAGUAAUACAUCGGAACGUGCCCAGUAGUGGGGGAUAACCCGGCGAAAGCCGGACUAAUACCGCAUACGACCUAUGGGUGAAAGCGGGGGAUCGCAAGACCUCGCGCUAUCGGAGCGGCCGAUGUCAGAUUAGCUUGUUGGCGGGGUAAAAGCCCACCAAGGCGACGAUCUGUAGCUGGUCUGAGAGGACGACCAGCCACACUGGGACUGAGACACGGCCCAGACUCCUACGGGAGGCAGCAGUGGGAAUUUUGGACAAUGGGCGCAAGCCUGAUCCAGCCAUGCCGCGUGCGGGAAGAAGGCC